GUAAAGCAAUAAUACUUCAAUAAAGAUGUUAAAAAAAAAGGUGGUGUGUCUACGCAUCUAGUACAGUUUGAACACAUAUUAACUGAAUGCAUUGAUGCAUGAAUUGAUGAAAAAGUGACUGAAAAUUGAAUAAAUGAAUGUGUGAAUGGUACAGAUUUCAGGGUAUACAUGGAAAAAUAUAUCCUAAAUUAAUACAAACAAUUUGGAGUCUACUGAGGAUAAGAUCGGUAGAAUUCUUAAAAGCCAAGGCUCUUGAUACUUAAAUUAUCCUUUAAUGUCUACAGGGCAAAAAAGUGGGUCUAGCAAGAAUAGCCAGAAAUGGGCUCUUUUAGUUCCACAGGACUCUGUUGAGUCCUGUGUGUUUAGGAAUUUAAGAUCAGCAUGAAGUUAUGGUGACAACCUGUCCACACAAUGUCCCCCUUUCCUUCUAAUCAAGGAGGGGUCAUGACCUCAUUCUUAGGGAAGUGGACUCUCCUCCAAAGCAUUUGAGGACCACUUCUUUCACAGAUUAAAUGAAAUGCAAAAUGGGUCCAGGGCAAAACAAGUCUUACUAAUAGAGCAUGCAUGAUUCCUGGGGGGAAAAGUCAUUGCUAAGUUGUAUAUGUAUUUUUUUUUCUGAACCUUUGAAAAGAUCAACUCUGGUUUCAGUUUAAUUUUUUUUUUUUCAAAAGAAACCUACAUGGCCACUGCUUCAAAUUUGUUCCAGAUGGAUUUAGUCAUAGAAUGAUUGAUUAUCCACUCAGUUGCGAGCUAUGUGGUUAAGCUCAGAAAUCUACAACAAACUGAUCUGGAGCUGUGUUUCACGGCAGGUCUGGACAUUCAUGGAUGGACUUUACCUAAGGUGAGGCUCACCUGUGGAAGUGACAGUGGCAGGCCCCAGCGAAUGGGAAUCCCAGGCAGAAUUCAAACACUGCCUCUGAGCAACAGUGACUCUCCAUGGCAAGUGGCAGAUGACGGAAGAAGGAAUUGUAUGUAUAGCAGCUAGUAUGGAUCUACACUUGUCACGUAAGUGCUCCAUGAAUGUGACUUUGCUUCUCUCCUCAGGUGAGUGGUGGCCCAUCUACCUGCCAAGGGACAACUGUGCUAGAAUGGGUAGGAAUUAAAACUGGAGUCAGUGGUUUCUCACCUUGGCCUGUGGUCCUCUGUAGGCAGGCAGGGUUCGGAGAGGGGUGGAGGAAAGGUUUGCAGAGUCAUCUGCAAAAGAUUUAAAAUGUAUAUGUGCAUCAAACAUUGCACAUAGAUGAAUUAAACACAAUCUCUUGCACAUAGUUCCUUCUCACUCUCAGAUAUCUAUUUGCACAUUAUUGUGGUAAACAUAUACAUGUUUAUCUAUAAUCACUACAAAAUGAAUUGUAGUUUUUUGCCAUCCUUUGUUUUCUCAGCUGCUAUCAAGUGAUGUCUAAGAAAUGUUUUGAAUAGAAAAGGUUUUUUCCUUCUGUUGAAAAACAGUGGGAACUGCCGUUCUAUAGCAUUGCUUAAGGUAAGGCUUCCCAGGUGUAGUCCUAAGACCUGUCGUACCUGUUUAAAGUGCAGUUGCCCAGCUCCACCCCUCACAGUCUGGAUUAGAAUCUCCCAGGCUAGGAAUUGGAAAUCUGCUUUCUAACAAAUGUCCUGAUGUCAAUUUUCCCAUGCAUUGAGAACGCCGGGCUUAAGAUAGUCUGAAAAUACGUUGACAGAAUCAGGAAUCAGGUUCAGGAGGUUAAAGCUUUGUUUUCUUCAAGUUUUACCUGAAGAUGGAAUAUUAUUUCUUUCUCGUUUAAAUCCUUGCAUACUAUCCAAAAACUGGCUAGAAUAUCUAUCAAUCAUGUCAGAUAGUCUAAUGACAAUUUUAAAGCACCGUAUCCCUGCUGGAACUCUAAAACCAAAGACAAAUGGUUUUGGAUCAUCUAUAGAUGAGACUUAGUCUCACAACUAUUUGCCUUCAUCGGUGUGCACUGAAAUACAAUGUGAAUUAAAUUACAGCGGGCAGGGGAGCUGGACUCCAGAUCUGAAAUCAUUAGCAGCUCCUGAGAGCACCCACCUGAUUUGUGUGUAUUUAAAUAUAAUCUUCAAUACAAUUAGGAAACCUUUACCACCAUCUGUGUUGUCAUAGCAAAGUGCAGGGGCAGCAAAUAUCUGGUCUACGUUUUGACAUCCUCCCCACCCCCACCAGUUUGCAUGGCAGCUAGACAUUUCUAAUCAAUUCUAGCAAUCCUUCCCCUUAAGUCAGGAUAUUUAUGCCUCAGAAUCCUUUUCCCCAGGCAGCUGUCAGCAGAUGGGAUGAUGGAGGAUGAAACCUAUUUGCUACGUCCGGGAUGGUGAAGGGCAUGGGCUUUGCAGUCGUGGGUUUAGGGGGUUCAAAUCCCAGUUUUGCCACUUACAGGUUGUGAGACAGAGCAAGAUACUUACAAAAUUUAGGUACUCUUGCAGCCUCAUUCUCCUUAUUUGCACAAGUGGGAUUACAGCCCCAUUUCACAGGAUUAUUGUGAAGGUGACAGAAAGAAUGCAUGUAAAUUGCUUAGUAUUCCUAGCACAUAGCGAGUACUCAAUAAAUUUUAGGUGUUGUUAUUUUUAAUCUAGCUUGAAAUGAUGUGAUGGGCGCAAGGAGAAAGGGACUCAUUUUGCGGGACUGCUUGAGUUCUAUAAAGCAGGUGUGGAAGAUUUUAUUAGCAGAGUGCUUCCUUACUGCAACCCUCUCUCUGGGAUUAUGGCCCACAUUUACUGAGGGCUUAACAAUUACAGAAAGUGUUCUAAGUACUUUUUGAGGAGUAACUAAUUUAAUCCUCACAAGAGCCCAGUGAAGUAGAUGUUCUUAUCCCCAGUUUAUAGAGGCAGCACCUGAGGCAUAAAGAGGUUAAGUAACUCAUAAGGGACAUGCCGUUUGAAAUGGGGACUCCGGCCAGCAGCCGCACUUGGAACUUGUGAAAAGGCAGAUUCUCAGGCCCUACCCCUGACUCCCUGCAUCAGAACUCUGUGGGUGGGCCCAGAAAUCUUUGUUUGAACAAGCCCUCCAGGCGAUUCUGAGGCACAUCAAGCUUUCAGAACCACAAUCCAGAAGGCAAAGGAGCAUUGGCAGGACAAGAAGUCGAUCAGGAGUGAGGUGAGCUGAUGAAGAAGCAUGUCCCCAUUAAGGAAGGGUGAGUGUCUUUUCAGAACUUUGAUUCCUAGCUGUACCUUCCAGUAUUCAUCCGGGAAUUCUGUGUGUUUUUUCCUGUUUAUGAGGAAAAUUGGUUUACUUGUUCUAUUGUUUUUUGUUUUUUUUUUUACUUUGUGUUACAAGUUCCACUAGAACAAAUAAGAAACCCCUUGUCUGUCUAGCACCUGCCAGAGAAGUAACCCUCAUCAGUGGAGGGAGGGGAUCAAAUGCCUAGCAUGGUGGAAACUUACCAGCUCCCAAGGUCUGGGCAGUGGAUCUGAAACUUCAGAGUCCCUACGAAUCAGCUGGAGCCUUUGUUAAAAUGAAGAUUCUCAGGUCCUGCUCUCCCCUAUUCUGAUUCAGUAGGUCUGAGGUAGAGCCCAGGAAUCUGCAUUUUAAUAAGCAUCUAGUCCAUAUGCCUCACCUUGAGAAAUAGAAGUUUGCUGGUGGUAACAGGGGUGUCAGACCAUGUCAUAUCCAGCCUUUGGAUGACAGAGGAGUUGGGGUGGGAGUAGUGAACCAAUGUCCAGACUAGGAGAGUGAGACAGUAGUACAAGAGCCAGGGCAACAAGAUAGCAAUCUAUAUCCUCACACUGUUCCUCCCCUCCUCUAUCCCUUUCCCACUGCCUUCUCUUCCAAAAGGUGUUUCUGAAGGUUCUCUGAGAAGGACAAUUUAUUAUACAUAAAACAGCUUUCAGCAAAGCUCAGCCAGUUGUGAGGAGGGGAUCUGGAGGGCUCCAAGCUGACCUCUCCUCCACUUCACCCCUUGAGGAAGCUCGUGAGGUAGGGCCAUAGACACUUUAAACUUCCCUCAGGAUUAGUUUGAAAAUAGCCUUAAUCUAACCCCCAUUUUACUGAUGAAGAAACUGAGGCCUAGAGAGGUGAAGAGACUUGUGUAAGGCUGGCUGGAGGCAUCACUAGAUGAUU
Non-coding RNA from Delphinapterus leucas (beluga whale), 4042 nucleotides. The record is from RefSeq and is a predicted model, not a curated record. Lineage: Eukaryota; Metazoa; Chordata; Mammalia; Artiodactyla; Monodontidae.